This is a long non-coding RNA of Hemicordylus capensis (graceful crag lizard), 2068 nucleotides long. RefSeq lists it as uncharacterized. Lineage: Eukaryota; Metazoa; Chordata; Lepidosauria; Squamata; Cordylidae. The record is from RefSeq and is a predicted model, not a curated record. The transcript is spliced from 4 exons.
GCUGGAGGGGGCCAUAAAGAGAGCCGGUGGGGGGAGGGGGAACCUCCGCAGACCACCCCACCCCACCCCCACCACCUCCAGGAACUCCCCCAAGGGGGAGUAAGGCCUCAUUCCUCAAACAAAGAGUUCCUGAAACCUGAAAUCAUCCAUGUGCUGAGUGGCAACAACCUCAUAAAAGACUACAAAAAAGAACUCGCAGCCAGUGAGGGUGACUGAGGUUUUCUCCCUGGUGCAAGAGAAGAAAUCUCGCAUGCCCACAACAGCAGGCAGCUUAAUGGCCACGAGGAACCCAUCAGCCUUGGAAAAUGGCAUGGAAUUGUAAACUCCUUGUGUGCAGAAAGAAGGAGCAAGAUAAAAGGAAGGAAGUCACAGUGGUUCAGAGCAAGGAACCUGGCUAUGAAGUGUUUCCCCUGACUUACCACUACACCCCAGCUAUUGCAGUCCUGAAACGUUCUGUCAUCUGUGAAUCUCAGUCCCAGAGGCAAGGGGAUGCUGAUGACCUGGGCACAUGUUGAAGAUGACCUCACUAGAGGCAAAACUGCACUGCAGUUCAAGUCAACCUGACCUACUAAAAGGAUUGUGUGAACCGGCCACAGGUUAAUGGUUGUCUACCUUUUAUUAGUUGACUUGUUUAGCUGAACAGUUCCUAUCAAAAGCCCUCAGCUCAGCGAAUUACAGUCUCCUGCAAACAGCAUGAAAAAUGUGCCACUUCAAAGAUAUCCAAUGCUUGAAAAUUAUUGACUUUUUACUAGCUGCAGAAUGAAGCAAGGGGACUUUUUUCAGACCAUUUCAUUUGUUCCACUUUUAUUUGUUCUGUCCUCUUUGUGCACAUACAUUGUAGCACAAAAUGCACCAGAAGAACUACCUGGAAUGUUAAACUGAACUUUCUUAGUAUAUUGCCAAAAACCUCCCAGUUAGUAUCACUACUGAUGCAUCCUCUUACCAGACAUGCCUCUUCUGGCAAACUUGUGAUAGGCCUCUGAAUGUUUCCUUUUUGUAGCAUAUACUGUAAGUUAGCUGAAUGUACUACUUUUUACACUGGAAUAUGCUGGGUGAAAGGUUUAAGGUUUUGUUCUUGUUUUGUUUUUUGUUAGCAGAAGUUGGGAAGUUCUGUUAGGCUAUUCUCUUGCUGCACUGGCAUUUCCUGGCUAUAAAUGUCAGCCAGUAUGUUGUAUGUGCAUGCAGGUGUCAGAACCCAUCUUUUUGAAGACUGGGACUACAUUAAUCCAUCUCCAGUCUCAUGGCACCUCACCAAUUCUCCAGGAUUGAUCAAAGUCAGAAGUUCUGAGAGUACAUCAAUGAGUUCUUUCAGUAUUCUAAGACGCAAUUAAUCUGGCCCUAAAGUUCUGAACUCAUUGAAAAAAAGAUAGGUAUUUCCUGACAAAUUCUUUAUCAACUGCAAUCCUUACCCCUCACCAUUCAUGCUAUUUUUGUGAGGUUGUACACGGUUUCAAUUUUGAGAGAAGAUGGGGCUAAAUAGUUGAGCAGCUCUGCCUUCUCUUUGUCACCUGUUAAUAUUUCACCAUCCUUACUGAGAAGCAAGCCUAGUUUUUCCUUUCUAUUACACAGAACAUACCUGAAAAGGCCCUUUUUAUUGCUCUUCGCAUCCCUUGCCAGACUCUGCUUGUUCUGAGGUUUCACUUUCCUGACAGUGUCCCAACAAGUUUGGGUUAUUCAUCUGUGCUCAUUCUUGGAGAUCUUCCAUUUCAUAUGUGUGCCAUUUUUAUAUUUUCAGCAGAUCACUUAUAUUUUUGUGAUGCCACACUGGCUUAAAAAAAACAAAAAAAAAACUCUAGGGCCUGGAUUGAUUCCCCUUGAUCCCCAAAGAAAUUAUCAGCACUGGCAGUUCUGAAAGUGUUUUGUGGAGGCUUCCAUUUGUUAAAGGCACAGAUUCUAUAUUCUGCACACUUCCCUGUCUCUCACCAUAGUCCCUCUGUAUGCCAUCCCCGAUAGUCCCUAUGUUUCUUCCUCAAGCCCUCCACCCUCUAUGCUCUUUGUUAACAAAUUGCACAUAUCCAAAGACCCUGAUGUUGCAAAUUUAUUUAAAUUAGAAAAUAAAGCUCCUUUC